UAGGGAAUCUUCCACAAUGGGCGAAGACCUGAUGGAGCAACGCCGCGUGUGUGAUGAAGGGUUUCGGCUCGUAAAACACUGUUGUAAGAGAAGAAUGACAUUGAGAGUAACUGUUCAAUGUGUGACGGUAUCUUACCAGAAAGGAACGGCUAAAUACGUGCCAC
RNAcentral lists this ribosomal RNA (164 nucleotides) under uncultured bacterium. RNAcentral describes it as "partial 16S rRNA". It matches the Rfam family "Bacterial small subunit ribosomal RNA", at positions 355 to 511 of the family's 1533-position model. The record is from RNAcentral.